UACAGGGGUGGCAAGCGUUGUUCGGAAUUACUGGGCGUAAAGGGCGCGUAGGCGGUUCGUUAAGUCCUGUGUGAAAUCCCCCGGCUCAACUGGGGAACUGCACAGGAAACUAGCGGGCUUGAGUUCGGGAGAGGGAAGCGGAAUUCCGGGUGUAGCGGUGAAAUGCGUAGAUAUCCGGAGGAACACCGGUGGCGAAGGCGGCUUCCUGGACCGACACUGACGCUGAGGCGCGAAAGCUAGGGGAGCAAACGGG
Molecule: ribosomal RNA, 253 nt
Filed under: uncultured bacterium
Lineage: Bacteria
Description: partial 16S ribosomal RNA
Rfam family: Bacterial small subunit ribosomal RNA
Source: RNAcentral